Zalophus californianus (California sea lion) is the source of this 704-nucleotide long non-coding RNA. RefSeq lists it as uncharacterized. The record is from RefSeq and is a predicted model, not a curated record. The transcript has 3 exons. NCBI's taxonomy places the organism in Eukaryota, Metazoa, Chordata, Mammalia, Carnivora, Otariidae.
GGAGGGAAUUCGCCUCUGAGCAGGGUUAAACCCUAGUCAGUCGCAUAAGAUUUUAGAAGGAACUUGCGGGCUCACAGCCUACUAAUGGGAAAAGCAUAUUUUUAGAGCGCUUCCGCGCCGCCCACGGCUGUGGGCUGGGACUACAAGUCCCGGCCUGCGGGAAUCCAGGAGCGGGGGCGGGAGAGGGCUGUGGUGGGAAAGAGAGGCAUGCUGGGAACUGUAGUUGUGUCACCUCCGCGUUCACCGCAGUUCACAUUGGCUGGAGACAUUAAUGAGAAAUAUGUCUAAAAGAUAGGAAGCGGGAGAGACCUGGGUAAAUCUUCAACCUGGAUACUCAGAUAGACGAAUUUCCAGCCCCCUUUCCUGAUGGAUACCAUGAACUCACUAUGCCAAGGAUCCUGUUCUCAGAGCGGUAAGGGAAGAGCACAUUUUGCAAAGUAUCGAAUUACCCAGUUACACCUAUUCACUUUUGCUAGAAGUCUACACUGAAAUUUGAUGAGAAUGAUGAAGAGGACGACUGCCUACUCCUACGAUGCACCACAGAAAGAAAUAGUACCGGGAAACAAAAACAGAAACAGUCAAGAAUGGAGAAUGUCUAAUGCCGGCUCUGUUUCUACCCCAGCAUUCUCCGUGAAGUGCAUAGUUUCCCUUGAUUAUAAAAUAGAGAUAAAUUCUAAAUGUGACAUUACAUAAAAAAGCAUUUA